GACGAACGCUGGCGGCGUGCCUAAUACAUGCAAGUAGAACGCUGAAGAGAGGAGCUUGCCCUUCUUGGAUGAGUUGCGAACGGGUGAGUAACGCGUAGGUAACCUGCCUUGUAGCGGGGGAUAACUAUUGGAAACGAUAGCUAAUACCGCAUAACAAUGGAUGACACAUGUCAUUUAUUUGAAAGGGGCAAUUGCUCCACUACAAGAUGGACCUGCGUUGUAUUAGCUAGUAGGUGAGGUAAUGGCUCACCUAGGCGACGAUACAUAGCCGACCUGAGAGGGUGAUCGGCCACACUGGGACUGAGACACGGCCCAGACUCCUACGGGAGGCAGCAGUAGGGAAUCUUCGGCAAUAGGGGCAACCCUGACCGAGCAACGCCGCGUGAGUGAAGAAGGUUUUCGGAUCGUAAAGCUCUGUUGUAAGUCAAGAACGGGUGUGAGAGUGGAAAGUUCACACUGUGACGGUAGCUUACCAGAAAGGGACGGCUAACUACGUG
Molecule: ribosomal RNA, 497 nt
Filed under: uncultured bacterium
Lineage: Bacteria
Description: partial 16S ribosomal RNA
Rfam family: Bacterial small subunit ribosomal RNA
Source: RNAcentral